GACGAACGCUGGCGGCGUGCUUAACACAUGCAAGUCGAACGGAAAGGCCCUGCUUUUGUGGGGUGCUCGAGUGGCGAACGGGUGAGUAACACGUGAGUAACCUGCCCUUGACUUUGGGAUAACUUCAGGAAGCUGGGGCUAAUACCGGAUAGGAGCUCCUGCUGCAUGGUGGGGGUUGGAAAGUUUCGGCGGUUGGGGAUGGACUCGCGGCUUAUCAGCUUGUUGGUGGGGUAGUGGCUUACCAAGGCUUUGACGGGUAGCCGGCCUGAGAGGGUUACCGGCCACAUUGGGACUGAGAUACGGCCCAGACUCCUACGGGAGGCAGCAGUGGGGAAUAUUGCACAAUGGGCGGAAGCCUGAUGCAGCAACGCCGCGUGCGGGAUGACGGCCUUCGGGUUGUAAACCGCUUUCGCCUGUGACGAAGCGUGAGUGACGGUAAUGGGUAAAGAAGCACCGGCUAACUACGUG
Molecule: ribosomal RNA, 468 nt
Filed under: uncultured bacterium
Lineage: Bacteria
Description: partial 16S ribosomal RNA
Rfam family: Bacterial small subunit ribosomal RNA
Source: RNAcentral